RNAcentral lists this ribosomal RNA (592 nucleotides) under uncultured bacterium. RNAcentral's name for it is "bacterial SSU rRNA". It matches the Rfam family "Bacterial small subunit ribosomal RNA", at positions 112 to 773 of the family's 1533-position model. The record is from RNAcentral.
AACGCGUAAGCAAUCUGCCUAUUAGAGGGGAAUAGCAGUGAGAAAUCACUGCUAAUACCGCAUACUAAUAGAUGAGCUUGCGUCUGAUUAACUAGUUGGUGUGGUAAUGGCAUACCAAGGUAACGAUCAGUAGCCGGACUGAAGGUUGAACGGCCACAUUGGGACUGAGAUACGGCCCAGACUCCUACGGGAGGCAGCAGUCGGGAAUAUUGCGCAAUGGAGGAAACUCUGACGCAGUGACGCCGCGUAUAGGAUGAAGGUGUUCGGAUUGUAAACUAUUGCAUUAGGGAAGACAGUACCUAAGGAGGAAGCUCCGGCUAACUACGUGCCAGCAGCCGCGGUAAUACGUAGGGAGCAAGCGUUAUCCGGAUUUAUUGGGUGUAAAGGGUGCGUAGACGGGAAAUUAAGUUAGUUGUGAAAGCCCUCGGCUUAACUGAGGAAUUGCAACUAAAACUGGUUUUCUUGAGUGCAGGAGAGGUAAGUGGAAUUCCUAGUGUAGCGGUGAAAUGCGUAGAUAUUAGGAGGAACACCAGUGGCGAAGCGACUUACUGGACUGUAACUGACGUUGAGGCACGAAGUGUGGGGAGCAAAC